Molecule: unclassified non-coding RNA, 253 nt
Filed under: uncultured Planctomycetota bacterium
Lineage: Bacteria; Pseudomonadati; Planctomycetota
Description: uncultured planctomycete contains 16S-23S intergenic spacer region
Rfam family: Bacterial small subunit ribosomal RNA
Source: RNAcentral
GACGAAGGUGGCAACCGUUGUUCGGAAUUACUGGGCAUAAAGCGCGCGUAGGCGGCGGCGUAAGUCGGAUGUGAAAUCCCUCGGCCCAACCGAGGAACUGCGUCCGAAACUGCGUCGCUUGAGGGCAGCAGGGGAGCGUGGAAUUCCUGGUGGAGCGGUGAAAUGCGUUGAUAUCAGGAGGAACACCGGCGGCGAAGGCGACGCUCUGGGCUGCUUCUGACGCUGAGGUGCGAAAGCCAGGGGAGCAAACGGG